CCUAAGUCGGAUUAGCUAGUUGGUGGGGUAAUGGCUCACCAAGGCAACGAUCCGUAGCUGGUCUGAGAGGAUGAUCAGCCACAUCGGGACUGAGACACGGCCCGAACUCCUACGGGAGGCAGCAGUGGGGAAUAUUGGACAAUGGGCGUAAGCCUGAUCCAGCCAUGCCGCGUGUGUGAAGAAGGCUUUCGGGUUGUAAAGCACUUUCAGUGAGGAGGAAGGCUUUCAGAUUAAUACUCUGGAGGAUUGACGUCACUCACAGAAGAAGCACCGGCUAACUCCGUGCCAGCAGCCGCGGUAAUACGGAGGGUGCAAGCGUUAAUCGGAAUUACUGGGCGUAAAGCGCGCGUAGGUGGUUGAGUAAGCGAGAUGUGAAAGCCCCGGGCUUAACCUGGGAACGGCACUUCGAACUGCUCGGCUAGAGUGUGGUAGAGGGUAGUGGAAUNUCCUGUGUAGCGGUGAAAUGCGUAGAUAUAGGAAGGAACACCAGUGGCGAAGGCGGCUACCUGGACCAACACUGACACUGAGGUGCGAAAGCGUGGGGAGCAAAUAGGAUUAGAUACCCUGGUAGUCCACGCCGUAAACGAUGUCAACUAGCCGUUGGGGAUCUUGAAUCCUUAGUGGCGCAGCUAACGCACUAAGUUGACCGCCUGGGGAGUACGGCCGCAAGGUUAAAACUCAAAUGAAUUGACGGGGGCCCGCACAAGCGGUGGAGCAUGUGGUUUAAUUCGACGCAACGCGAAGAACCUUACCUGGCCUUGACAUGCAGAGAACUUUCCAGAGAUGGAUUGGUGCCUUCGGGAACUCUGACACAGGUGCUGCAUGGCCGUCGUCAGCUCGUGUCGUGAGAUGUUGGGUUAAGUCCCGUAACGAGCGCAACCCCUAUCCCUAGUUGCUAGCAGUUCGGCUGAGAACUCUAGGGAGACUGCCGGUGACAAACCGGAGGAAGGUGGGGAUGACGUCAGGUCAUCAUGGCCCUUACGGCCAGGGCUACACACGUGCUACAAUGGUGCGUACAGAGGGUUGCAAACCCGCGAGGGGGAGCCAAUCUCACAAAACGCAUCGUAGUCCGGAUCGGAGUCUGCAACUCGACUCCGUGAAGUCGGAAUCGCUAGUAAUCGUG
RNAcentral lists this ribosomal RNA (1123 nucleotides) under uncultured bacterium. RNAcentral's name for it is "bacterial SSU rRNA". It matches the Rfam family "Bacterial small subunit ribosomal RNA", at positions 230 to 1346 of the family's 1533-position model. The record is from RNAcentral.